Molecule: long non-coding RNA, 2290 nt
Organism: Astatotilapia calliptera (eastern happy)
Lineage: Eukaryota; Metazoa; Chordata; Actinopteri; Cichliformes; Cichlidae
Source: Ensembl
GGCCAUUUACCAUUCAUUUUCAGGGGCACCUUUGUACAUAAACAAAGCAGAAAUGGCAUUGUCAAUCACACAUCAAACAUAAGCUCCAGUUUGGUCAAUGAACUCAUUAUUUGAUGUGCACAGUGUAUAGAAUUAAAACAAUUUGACUCAUGGUAUGUUAGUAAUGCCAGCUUCCCACUGUGGGGGGGGGGGGUCCUGCUGUUGUACAUGCCGGAUCAUUGUCGUGGCUUACUGAGAGACUGACUCGUGCUUUUCCUGCUGUGAUGAGUCAGGGGACACUAUCUGUUGUCUAGAUUCAUGAUUAGGUUGGUGCACUCAAACAACACCAGGGGGCAGUAUGUGAACAUCAUGAUCUUAAAGCAAGAAAGUAAAGGUUAGAGAGUUUGCCAUGAAAAAUCAGAUUCUGUGUACUUGUACCAUGAAGAAAUCCCCCCAUAAAUAAUAAUAAAAAAAAUUGAUAAAAAAAAAAAAUUUAACUCGGUAAUGAAUUCUGAUUUCAGAAUGUUUGAAUUAAAUUUGAAGUCACUUUUGUUAAACCAUUUACCCACUGUUAAGAGGUGCCACCUGGCUUCAGUUCUUGAAUAUUUUUGACAUCAUGGUCCAUGGUUGAGUUACACCUCAGCAUAGCUCUUGACCAACUGGAAGAUCCCAAUGACUUUAAUGUCUGAUCGAAGGCCCUCUGGAGACAGCACCUUGGUUUACUUUUUGUAUAAAAGAGGAAACAAAAUGCACUCACUAUACCUGCUUAAGUAUGAGUGGAGAUAUGGUGUAAGUCAAGAGAGUUAAGAAAUUCCAAGGUAGAUUCUCUUUUCACACAUAAAUUAGUAUUAAUAUUGACAUUGUACAUGUUAAGGUGACUCUAUCUACCACACUGAUUCUUGUCCUCCUCUGUAACAGUUUGAACAGUUUUUUCACAGUUUCUGAGAAAUUACAAGAGGAAGCAACAGAUAAAUUAUUGCUGUAAAUGUAAUAGGAACUAUGUUUAUUUUUAUUUUUUAAAAAACAGGCAGUGUUUUGAAGGCAAAUCUUUUUGUCCUUUAAAGGUCUAAUUCAAAUAAAAAAUGGGUUUUGGUACUUGAGAAGAAUGUACAUGCCCUCAAGUAUUCACCUCCAGACAGCUGCAAUGCAAUAACAGUUUCCUUCACCAGGAGAGAUGUAGACCUUAGUGAUGGGUCAGUCGCGAAUGAAAUGGCUCUUAGAGCCGUGGGGUUUUUUUUUUGUUUUUUGGGGUUUUUUUUCCCCCCUUUCUCUCACCCUCUCUCUCGCACUUUUUUUCCGCUUCACUCAGCAUGGGAGCCUUGUGCUUUACGCUGGGAAGAGGGGGGAGAGGCGGUAGUUACACUCAGUAGCACAGGAACAGAGCAGGAGUGAGAGAGAGAGAAAGAGAGCCAGGGACAACAACGUCACAUUAGAAAGGUAUAGUAAUCAUCCACAACUAUUUUCAGUUGCAGAUGAUAAAGGAUUCAGAAAGUUAGUCAUGCAGGUUCAUAUGACAGAGAAUAUGCAUGUUCUUUUUGUUUUCACAUUAUAAUUUAUAUUUAAUUGUGUUAUGGUUUGCAGUGUUUUGUGUUGUUUUCACUUUAAAUUUAUAAAAGGAAAAAGCUGAAAAUUUAAAUAGUUAAAAGUUGAAAUGUGAAUAGUUGAUUUUUGUAUUAUAUGAUUUAUUUAUUACAUUUUAUGUGGAGUGAAUAAAUAAAAGUAUAUUUACGGUGGCCCCUACAGACAAAGCACACACAAACUUCAAAUCACGUACAAACCCUGAAGCACGUACAAACUCCAAAACAAGUAAAAACUCCAAAACACGUAAAAACACGUACAAACUCCAAAACACGUAAAAACUCAGAAGCACAUAAAAACUCAAAACACGUACAAAAGACAACAGAAGUGCUCCAGGAUGCUAAGGGCAGUGUUGAGUUUUUGUUACCUAGUGGCUACACAAGCCAGCAAGUACCAACGACCGGAUUUGGUGUGUGGUAAUAACAGGUAAAUGAACUUUUUUUUUAUUAUUAUUUUUUGACUAUAUAUGAAUGCUUGUGUAUAAAUACACAAACAAUACACAUAUGCUUUCAUGCUUUCAAUUGUGUAAUUUAAGUGAUCUAGGUAGCUCUGUUUGGAAGUUCAGUUCAUGCUAGAAAUGUGUUUUGGAGUUUGUAUGUGCUUUUUAGAGUUUAUACAUGUUUUCUCUCUAGGGGCCACUGCAUAUAUUUAUAUAUUAAUAUAUAUAAAUAAAACCACUUUUUUUAACAUUAGUAAUUCCUUUUGUGCAUAAUUUUAUAUUAUUGUUAAUAAU